AACGAACGCUGGCGGCGCGCCUAAUACAUGCAAGUCGAGCGAGAAGACGUAGCAAUACGUUUGUAAAGCGGCGAACGGGUGAGGAAUACAUGGGUAACCUACCCUCGAGUGGGGAAUAACUAGCCGAAAGGUUAGCUAAUACCGCGUACGCUCCUUGGACUUCGGUUCAGGGAGGAAAGCGAUACCGUGGGUAUCGCGCUCUUGGAUGGGCUCAUGUCCUAUCAGCUUGUUGGUGAGGAACGGCUCACCAAGGCUUCGACGGGUAGCUGGUCUGAGAGGACGAUCAGCCACACUGGCACUGC
Molecule: ribosomal RNA, 302 nt
Filed under: uncultured bacterium
Lineage: Bacteria
Description: bacterial SSU rRNA
Rfam family: Bacterial small subunit ribosomal RNA
Source: RNAcentral